Folsomia candida is the source of this 1166-nucleotide long non-coding RNA. RefSeq lists it as uncharacterized. Lineage: Eukaryota; Metazoa; Arthropoda; Collembola; Entomobryomorpha; Isotomidae. The record is from RefSeq and is a predicted model, not a curated record. The transcript is spliced from 2 exons.
CCACUUGCUCAGGUGGUGCGCGAUGGUGAUACUGCUCCUUCACUCGCCUAUUACUUAAAUAACUAUGCAUGUGGCACAAAAAGGUACGUAUGUAGAUCCCAUGCAUCAUAAAGUGACUCUCUUUAAUCCGAUUAGCACAUCCGCACCCACAGCCAGCUAAACGCACAUCCGAGAGUUCCUCACAAGAACCACACCUACGAUUCCUUUGUGGUCGCAGGUUCUCACGCCUCCAUCGUCGUCGUCGUCGCCAUCAUCAUCGUCUCAAGAAUCUCAUCGCACCCCAGCAACCCACCCAGAAGAAGAAGAAGGCUUCCUUUGGUCACCUCCCGACCCCAUUUCAUUUCAUGGCAUGCCCACAAUAACGGACUGAAGGGGGCAGCGACUGGAUGUGCCCAUUCACAAAAUGAUAACGUUUCCUUGGCUUGAGCUGGAUUUAUUCUUCCUCCUUGCCAACGAUUUUGGGUGAAAAGAAUGGAUCGAAUUCUUGAGCGCCUCUGUCCUUCGCUGCAAAAAAAAAUGUCGUCGCAGUCUAUCAGGCAUUUGCCCACCCGGACGAUCGUGAUAUUCGUGAUGCAGCAGCACAAGCCAGGAAAAUGAUGCACAUCUACAUCUGCAAAUGGCCAGAGGGACGUGGUGUGGUAAUAAUAAUAAUAAUAGCAUCUCUCCGCCAGUUGGUGAGAUGCGGCGCCAGGCCGUCACAAGAGAGAGACUGGACAUUUCACAGGCUACUCGCAAAGGUCACAUCACUUGUGGACUCGGCUCCCAAUUAAUAUUCCAAUCAACGGCGGAUCAAUGGCUUUCUGCCCAGCAAGGUGAACUCCAUCAGGCAGCAGACACAGGACAUAGACGUGAGAUUUUUUUAUACGUGACUAACUUUUUUUGUGCCCCACAUUAAGCAUGCCAGACCACUCACUACCCAUUUUCUACCAGCUUUAUGCUGAUCGUCGUAAUCGUGCCAAUACCCAAAACAACCCGUAUCCCUUUUAUCAAUGUUCAUUUAUUAGCAAAAUUCACAGAGACAAAACAAGAAGCCAUUUCAUCCACUCAAUCCGAAUUCGCGUCGUCGUCGUUUCCUUCUAAUACUUUGCCAUUUUGAUGGAAUCCUUGAGCGCAGCCAGGACGCGAUCCACCUUCUCCGGAUAAGCAUUAUAGCCCAUCAAACCGAU